CCUACGGGUGGCUGCAGUGAGGAAUAUUGGUCAAUGGGCGAAAGCCUGAUGGAGCAACGCCGCGUGCAGGAUGAAGGCCUUCGGGUUGUAAACUGCUUUUAUAAGCGAGAAAUAUGAUGGUAACUUAUGAAUAAGGAUCGGCUAACUACGUGCCAGCAGCCGCGGUCAUACGUAGGAUCCGAGCAUUAUCCGGAGUGACUGGGUGUAAAGAGUUGCGUAGGUGGCAUAGUAAGUAGCUAGUGAAAUCUGGUGGCUCAACCAUUCAGACUAUUAGCUAAACUGCUAAGCUCGAGACCGUUAGGGGUAACUGGAAUUUCUAGUGUAGGAGUGAAAUCCGUAGAUAUUAGAAGGAACACCGGUUGCGAAGGCGGCUCUCUGGACUGUAACUGACACUGAGGCACGAAAGCGUGGGGAGCAAACAGGAUUAGAUACCCCAGUAGUC
RNAcentral lists this ribosomal RNA (442 nucleotides) under uncultured bacterium. RNAcentral's name for it is "partial 16S ribosomal RNA". It matches the Rfam family "Bacterial small subunit ribosomal RNA", at positions 338 to 795 of the family's 1533-position model. The record is from RNAcentral.